AAUAUGGCACAAUGGAGGAAACUCUGAUGCAGCGACGCCGCGUGAAUGACGAAGGCCUUCGGGACGUCCCAUUCUGUCCUUGGGGACGAUAAUGACGGUACCCAAGGAGGAAGCCCCGGCUAACUACGUGCCAGCAGCCGCGGUAAUACGUAGGGGGCAAGCGUUGUCCGGAAUUAUUGGGCGUAAAGGGCUCGCAGGCGGCUUCUUAAGACUGAUGUGAAAUAUUGCGGCUCAACCGCAAGAGGUCAUUGGAAGCUGGGAGGCUUGAGUAUAGGAGAGGAAAGUGGAAUUCCACGUGUAGCGGUGAAAUGCGUAGAGAUGUGGAGGAACACCAGUGGCGAAGGCGACCACCUGGGCUAAUACUGACACUGAGGUGCGAAAGCGUGGGGAGCAAACA
This 397-nucleotide ribosomal RNA is filed under the name uncultured bacterium. Its description in RNAcentral is "partial 16S ribosomal RNA". It matches the Rfam family "Bacterial small subunit ribosomal RNA", at positions 360 to 774 of the family's 1533-position model. The record is from RNAcentral.